CAGCAGCCGCGGUAAUACGAAGGGUGCAAGCGUUAAUCGGAAUUACUGGGCGUAAAGCGUGCGUAGGCGGUGAGUUAAGUCUGCUGUGAAAUCCCCGGGCUCAACCUGGGAAUGGCAAUGGAUACUGGCAAGCUAGAGUGUGUCAGAGGAUGGUGGAAUUCCCGGUGUAGCGGUGAAAUGCGUAGAGAUCGGGAGGAACAUCAGUGGCGAAGGCGGCCAUCUGGGACAACACUGACGCUGAGGCACGAAAGCGUGGGGAGCAAACAGGAUUAGAUACCCGUGUAGUCCCUGUCUCUUAUAC
Molecule: ribosomal RNA, 301 nt
Filed under: uncultured bacterium
Lineage: Bacteria
Description: partial 16S ribosomal RNA
Rfam family: Bacterial small subunit ribosomal RNA
Source: RNAcentral